This is a long non-coding RNA of Mytilus californianus (California mussel), 1409 nucleotides long. RefSeq lists it as uncharacterized. NCBI's taxonomy places the organism in Eukaryota, Metazoa, Mollusca, Bivalvia, Mytilida, Mytilidae. The transcript has 2 exons. The record is from RefSeq and is a predicted model, not a curated record.
UUUCAUGACAAUAACUUGUGUGUAAGUGUAUGGAUCGCUCUGACAUUGUAUCACAAGGUUCCAUAUCACAAAGGGAAUGCUGGGAUUGAUUUUGGGGGUAAUUGCCUUCAAAUUUUAGGAAAAAGGGGCAAAAAAGGGGCAAAAAACAAGCAUUUUUCUAGUUUCAUGACAAUAACUUGUGUGUAAGUGUAUGGAUUUUUAUGAAAUUGUACUACAAGGUUCCAUAUCACAAAGGGAAAGCUGGAAUUGAGUUUGGGGGUAAUUGCCUAAAAAGUUCAGGAAUAAGGGGCCAAAAAGGGGCCAAAAAUAAGCAUUUUUCUAGUUUCCAGACAAUAACUUGUGUGUAAGUGUAUGGAUCUCUCUGAAAUUGUACUGCAAGGUACCAUACCACAAAGGGAAUGCUGGGAUUGAUUUUGGGGGUAAUUGCUUCCAAAUUUUAGGAAUUUGGGGUCAAAAAGGGGCAAAAUACAAGCAUUUUUCUAGUUUCAUGACAAUAACUUGUGUGUAAGUGUAUGGAUCUUUAUGAAAUUGUACUACAAGGUUCCAUAUCACAAAGGAAAAGAUGGAAUUGAGUUUGGGGGUAAUUGCCCAAAAAGUUUAGGAAAAAGGGGCCAAAAAUAAGCAUUUUUCUAGUUUCCAGACAAUAACUUGUGUUCAGGUGUAUGGAUCUCUCUGAAAUUGUACUGCAAGGUACCAUACCACAAAAGGAAGGCUGGGAUUGAUUUUGGGGGUAAUUCCCUCAAAAUUUUAGGAAUUAGGGGCCAUAAAAGGGCCAAAAAACAAGCAUUUUUCUAGUUUCAGGACAAUAACUUGUGUGUAAGUGUAUGGAUCUGUAUGAAAUUGUACUGCAAGAUUCCAUAUCACAAAGGAAAGCUGGGUUUGAGUUUGGGGGUAAUUGCCCUAAACGUUUAGGAAUUUGGGGCCAAAAAGGGGCCAAAAAACAAGCAUUUUUCUAGUUUCAUGACAUUAACUUGUGUGUAAUUGUAUGGAUCUUUAUGAAAUUGUACUACAAGGUUCCAUAUCACAAAGGGAAAGCUGGAAUUGAGUUUGGGGGUAAUUGCCCUAAACGUUUAGGAAUUUGGGGCCAAAAAGGGGCCAAAAAACAAGCAUUUUUCUAGUUUCAUGACAUUAACUUGUGUGUAAGUGUAUGGAUCUUUAUGAAAUUGUACUACAAGAUUCCAUAUCACAAAGGGAAAGCUGGGUUUGAGUUUGGGGGUAAUUGCCCUAAACGUUUAGGAAUUUGGGGCCAAAAAGGGGCCAAAAAACAAGCAUUUUUCUAGUUUCAUGACAUUAACUUGUGUGUAAGUGUAUGGAUCUUUAUGAAAUUGUACUACAAGGUUCCAUAUCACAAAGGGAAAGCUGGAAUUGAGUUUGGGGGUAAUUGCCCAAAAAGUUUAGGAAUAAGGGCC